This 253-nucleotide ribosomal RNA is filed under the name uncultured bacterium. RNAcentral describes it as "partial 16S ribosomal RNA". It matches the Rfam family "Bacterial small subunit ribosomal RNA", at positions 524 to 776 of the family's 1533-position model. The record is from RNAcentral.
UACGGAGGGAGCUAGCGUUGUUCGGAAUUACUGGGCGUAAAGCGCACGUAGGCGGCUUUGUAAGUUAGAGGUGAAAGCCCGGAGCUCAACUCCGGAAUUGCCUUUAAGACUGCAUCGCUUGAAUCCAGGAGAGGUGAGUGGAAUUCCGAGUGUAGAAGUGAAAUUCGUAGAUAUUCGGAAGAACACCAGUGGCGAAGGCGGCUCACUGGACUGGUAUUGACGCUGAGGUGCGAAAGCGUGGGGAGCAAACAGG